GAUGAACGCUGGCGGCGUGCCUAAUACAUGCAAGUCGAGCGAACAGACGAGGUGCUUGCUCCUCUGACGUUAGCGCCGGACGGGUGAGUAACACGUGGAUAACCUACCUAUAAGACUGGGGUAACUUCGGGAAACCGGAGCUAAUACCGGAUAAUAUAUUGAACCGCAUGGUUCAAUAGUGAAAGACGGUUUUGCUGUCACUUAUAGAUGGAUCCGCGCCGCAUUAGCUAGUUGGUAAGGUAACGGCUUACCAACGCGACGAUGCGUAGCCGACCUGAGAGGGUGAUCGGCCACACUGGAACUGAGACACGGUCCAGACUCCUACGGGAGGCAGCAGUAGGGAAUCUUCCGCAAUGGGCGAAAGCCUGACGGAGCAACGCCGCGUGAGUGAUGAAGGUCUUCGGAUCGUAAAACUCUGUUAUUAGGGAAGAACAAAUGUGUAAGUAACUAUGCAGGUCUUGACGGUACCUAAUCAGAAAGCCACGGCUAACUACGUG
Molecule: ribosomal RNA, 497 nt
Filed under: uncultured bacterium
Lineage: Bacteria
Description: partial 16S ribosomal RNA
Rfam family: Bacterial small subunit ribosomal RNA
Source: RNAcentral